This 427-nucleotide ribosomal RNA is filed under the name uncultured bacterium. RNAcentral's name for it is "bacterial SSU rRNA". It matches the Rfam family "Bacterial small subunit ribosomal RNA", at positions 354 to 796 of the family's 1533-position model. The record is from RNAcentral.
GUGGGGAAUAUUGCACAAUGGGGGAAACCCUGAUGCAGCGACGCCGCGUGAAGGACGACGUAUUUCGGUAUGUAAACUUCUAUCAGCAGGGAAGAACAAGUGACGGUACCUGACUAAGAAGCCCCGGCUAACUACGUGCCAGCAGCCGCGGUAAUACGUAGGGGGCAAGCGUUAUCCGGAUUUACUGGGUGUAAAGGGAGCGUAGGCGGCGCGUCAAGUCAGAAGUGAAAGCCCGGGGCUCAACUCCGGGACUGCUUUUGAAACUGUCGUGCUUGAUUUCAGGAGAGGUAAGCGGAAUUCCUAGUGUAGCGGUGAAAUGCGUAGAUAUUAGGAGGAACACCAGUGGCGAAGGCGGCUUACUGGACUGACAAUGACGCUGAGGCUCGAAAGCGUGGGGAGCAAACAGGAUUAGAAACCCUAGUAGUCC